GCGCUCGUAGCUCAAUUGGAUAGAGUGCUGGACUUCGAAUCCAUAGGUUGCAGGUUCGAGCCCUGCCGGGCGCG
RNAcentral lists this transfer RNA (74 nucleotides) under Spirochaetales bacterium. RNAcentral's name for it is "tRNA-Arg". It matches the Rfam family "tRNA". Rfam says of the family: Transfer RNA (tRNA) molecules are approximately 80 nucleotides in length. Their secondary structure includes four short double-helical elements and three loops (D, anti-codon, and T loops). Lineage: Bacteria; Pseudomonadati; Spirochaetota; Spirochaetia; Spirochaetales. The record is from RNAcentral. RNAcentral also lists the same sequence under 1 other name.